GCGCCCGUAGCUCAGCUGGAUAGAGUACCUGGCUACGAACCAGGCGGUCGUACGUUCGAAUCGUACCGGGCGCG
This 74-nucleotide transfer RNA is filed under the name Reinekea marinisedimentorum. It matches the Rfam family "tRNA". Rfam says of the family: Transfer RNA (tRNA) molecules are approximately 80 nucleotides in length. Their secondary structure includes four short double-helical elements and three loops (D, anti-codon, and T loops). Further hydrogen bonds mediate the characteristic L-shaped molecular structure. tRNAs have two regions of fundamental functional importance: the anti-codon, which is responsible for specific mRNA codon recognition, and the 3' end, to which the tRNAs corresponding amino acid is attached (by aminoacyl-tRNA synthetases). tRNAs cope with the degeneracy of the genetic code in two manners: having more than one tRNA (with a specific anti-codon) for a particular amino acid; and 'wobble' base-pairing, i.e. permitting non-standard base-pairing at the 3rd anti-codon position. Lineage: Bacteria; Pseudomonadati; Pseudomonadota; Gammaproteobacteria; Oceanospirillales; Saccharospirillaceae. RNAcentral also lists the same sequence under 1 other name. The record is from Rfam by way of RNAcentral.